This 431-nucleotide ribosomal RNA is filed under the name uncultured bacterium. RNAcentral's name for it is "partial 16S ribosomal RNA". It matches the Rfam family "Bacterial small subunit ribosomal RNA", at positions 29 to 507 of the family's 1533-position model. The record is from RNAcentral.
AACGAACGCUGGCGGCAGGCUUAACACAUGCCAGUCGAACGCCCCGCCAGGGGAGUGGCAGACGGGUGAGUAACGCGUGGGAACAUACCCUUUUCUACGGAAUAGCUCUGGGAAACUGGAAUUAAUACCGUAUACGCCCUACGGGGGAAAGAUUUAUCGGGGAAGGAUUGGCCCGCGUUGGAUUAGCCAGUUGGUGGGGUAAAGGCCUACCAAGGCGACGAUCCAUAGCUGGUCUGAGAGGAUGAUCAGCCACAUUGGGACUGAGACACGGCCCAAACUCCUACGGGAGGCAGCAGUGGGGAAUAUUGGACAAUGGGCGCAAGCCUGAUCCAGCCAUGCCGCGUGAGUGAUGAAGGCCUUAGGGUUGUAAAGCUCUUUCACCGAUGAAGAUAAUGACGGUAGUCGGAGAAGAAGCCCCGGCUAACUUCGUG